CGGGGGGGGGGGCAAGCGUUGUUCGGAAUUACUGGGCGUAAAGGGCGCGCAGGCGGGCCCGGCCAGUCCCUUGUGAAAUCCCACGGGCUCAACUGUGGAACUGCAGGGGAUACUGCCAGGCUUGAGUCCGGGAGAGGGUAGUGGAAUUCCCAGUGUAGCGGUGAAAUGCGUAGAUAUUGGGAGGAACACCGGUGGCGAAGGCGGCUACCUGGACCGGUACUGACGCUGAGGCGCGAAAGCUAGGGGAGCAAACGGGAUUAGAUACCCCGGUAGUCCUAGCUGUAAACGUUGAGCACUUGGUGUGGCGGGUAUCGACCCCUGCUGUGCCGAAGCUAACGCAUUAAGUGCUCCGCCUGGGGAGUACGGUCGCAAAGGCUG
Molecule: ribosomal RNA, 378 nt
Filed under: uncultured organism
Description: partial 16S ribosomal RNA
Rfam family: Bacterial small subunit ribosomal RNA
Source: RNAcentral